Molecule: ribosomal RNA, 588 nt
Filed under: Vishniacozyma tephrensis
Lineage: Eukaryota; Fungi; Basidiomycota; Tremellomycetes; Tremellales; Bulleribasidiaceae
Description: partial large subunit ribosomal RNA
Rfam family: Eukaryotic large subunit ribosomal RNA
Source: RNAcentral
AUCUUAGUACGGCGAGUGACCGGGAUGAGCUCAAAUUUGAAAUCUGGCGUCUUUCAGGCGUCCGAGUUGUAAUCUAUAGAGGCGUUUUCCGCGCCGGACCGCGUCCAAGUCUCUUGGAAUAGAGUAUCAAAGAGGGUGACAAUCCCGUACUUGACGCGACAACCGGUGCUCUGUGAUACGUUCUCAACGAGUCGAGUUGUUUGGGAAUGCAGCUCUAAAUGGGUGGUAAAUUCCAUCUAAGGCUAAAUAUUGGCGAGAGACCGAUAGCGAACAAGUACCGUGAGGGAAAGAUGAAAAGCACUUUGGAAAGAGAGUUAAACAGCACGUGAAAUUGUUAAAAGGGAAACGAUUGAAGUCAGUCGUGUGAAAGGUAUUCAGCCGUCUCUGGCGGUGUAUUUGCCUUUCACGGGUCAACAUCAGUUUAGUCCGGUAGAAAAAGGCUGGAGGAAGGUGGCACCCUCGGGUGUGUUAUAGCCUCCUGUCAUAUGUGCCGGAUUAGACUGAGGAACGCAGCUUGCAGCAAUGCCGGGGUUCGCCCACGUACAAGCUUAGGAUGUUGACAUAAUGGCUUUAAACGACCCGUCUUGA